UUCACUACUCCACUAGUCGCAGAGGUCCUUCCAUACAUCCACCUGCAUUUAGUGAUCCCUAUAGGACUUUCAGUCCAAUGGUGACAGAAAAUUGGAAUGCUUGAUGGAGGACUACCAUAGGCUGUAUAGUCCAUCUUGAAACCUACGUGUGGCCAUCUGCUCGAAGAUCGAGCGACCAGCCUCCUCAUCCUAAAGAGAUAUGAAUCAAUAGUAUUUCUGCAAGUAGAAGCAAGCAUGUAUUAAUAAAUAGAAUACAAACCUACCAUGAAUUAUUAAAUUAAAUAUCUUUGACUUAUCAAGAACAUCUCUCAGGCU
This 315-nucleotide long non-coding RNA is filed under the name Elaeis guineensis (African oil palm). Its description in RNAcentral is "long non-coding RNA (EGUI_LNC017824)". Lineage: Eukaryota; Viridiplantae; Streptophyta; Magnoliopsida; Arecales; Arecaceae. The record is from RNAcentral.